GAUGAACGCUAGCUACAGGCUUAACACAUGCAAGUCGAGGGGCAGCAUGGUCUUAGCUUGCUAAGGCCGAUGGCGACCGGCGCACGGGUGAGUAACACGUAUCCAACCUGCCGUCUACUCUUGGACAGCCUUCUGAAAGGAAGAUUAAUACAAGAUGGCAUCAUGAGUCCGCAUGUUCACAUGAUUAAAGGUAUUCCGGUAGACGAUGGGGAUGCGUUCCAUUAGAUAGUAGGCGGGGUAACGGCCCACCUAGUCUUCGAUGGAUAGGGGUUCUGAGAGGAAGGUCCCCCACAUUGGAACUGAGACACGGUCCAAACUCCUACGGGAGGCAGCAGUGAGGAAUAUUGGUCAAUGGGCGAGAGCCUGAACCAGCCAAGUAGCGUGAAGGAUGACUGCCCUAUGGGUUGUAAACUUCUUUUAUAAAGGAAUAAAGUCGGGUAUGGAUACCCGUUUGCAUGUACUUUAUGAAUAAGGAUCGGCUAACUCCGUGCCAGCAGCCGCGGUAAUACGGAGGAUCCGAGCGUUAUCCGGAUUUAUUGGGUUUAAAGGGAGCGUAGAUGGAUGUUUAAGUCAGUUGUGAAAGUUUGCGGCUCAACCGUAAAACUGCAGUUGAUACUGGAUAUCUUGAGUGCAGUUGAGGCAGGCGGAAUUCGUGGUGUAGCGGUGAAAUGCUUAGAUAUCACGAAGAACUCCGAUUGCGAAGGCAGCCUGCUAAGCUGCAACUGACAUUGAGGCUCGAAAGUGUGGGUAUCAAACAGGAUUAGAUACCCUGGUAGUCCACACGGUAAACGAUGAAUACUCGCUGUUUGCGAUAUACUGCAAGCGGCCAAGCGAAAGCGUUAAGUAUUCCACCUGGGGAGUACGCCGGCAACGGUGAAACUCAAAGGAAUUGACGGGGGCCCGCACAAGCGGAGGAACAUGUGGUUUAAUUCGAUGAUACGCGAGGAACCUUACCCGGGCUUAAAUUGCAGAUGAAUUACGGUGAAAGCCGUAAGCCGCAAGGCAUCUGUGAAGGUGCUGCAUGGUUGUCGUCAGCUCGUGCCGUGAGGUGUCGGCUUAAGUGCCAUAACGAGCGCAACCCUUGUUGUCAGUUACUAACAGGUUCCGCUGAGGACUCUGACAAGACUGCCAUCGUAAGAUGUGAGGAAGGUGGGGAUGACGUCAAAUCAGCACGGCCCUUACGUCCGGGGCUACACACGUGUUACAAUGGGGGGUACAGAGGGCCGCUACCACGCGAGUGGAUGCCAAUCCCCAAAACCUCUCUCAGUUCGGACUGGAGUCUGCAACCCGACUCCACGAAGCUGGAUUCGCUAGUAAUCGCGCGUCAGCCACGGCGCGGUGAAUACGUUCCCGGGCCU
Molecule: ribosomal RNA, 1358 nt
Filed under: uncultured bacterium
Lineage: Bacteria
Description: bacterial SSU rRNA
Rfam family: Bacterial small subunit ribosomal RNA
Source: RNAcentral